GACGAACGCUGGCGGCGUGCUUAACACAUGCAAGUCGAGCGGUAAGGCCCUUUCGGGGGUACGACGAGCGGCGAACGGGUAGGAGUAACACGUGGGUGGACCUCGCCCUCCAGCUCUGGGAGUAAGACCUCGGGAAACCGGGUACUAAUACUGGAUAUGACUCCAUGACGCAUGUUGUGGGGUGGAAAGCCUUGUGCGGCUGAGGAUGGGCCCGCGGCCUAUCAGCUUGUUGGGUGGGGUGANGGCCUACCAAGGCGACGACGGGUAG
This 268-nucleotide ribosomal RNA is filed under the name uncultured bacterium. RNAcentral's name for it is "partial 16S ribosomal RNA". It matches the Rfam family "Bacterial small subunit ribosomal RNA", at positions 28 to 286 of the family's 1533-position model. The record is from RNAcentral.